UACGGAGGGUGCGAGCGUGAAUCGGAUUUACUGGGCGUAAAGCGUGCGUAGGCGGCUUUUAAAGUCGGAUGUGAAAUCCCCGAGCUUAACUUGGGAAUUGCAUUCGAUACUGGGAAGCCAGAGCAUGGGAGAGGAUGGUAGAAUUCCAGGUGUAGCGGUGAAAUGCGUAGAGAUCUGGAGGAAUACCGAUGGCGAAGGCAGCCAUCUGGCCUGAUACUGACGCUGAGGUGCGAAAGCGUGGGUAGCAAACAGG
RNAcentral lists this unclassified non-coding RNA (253 nucleotides) under uncultured Moraxellaceae bacterium. RNAcentral describes it as "contains 16S-23S intergenic spacer region". It matches the Rfam family "Bacterial small subunit ribosomal RNA", at positions 524 to 776 of the family's 1533-position model. The record is from RNAcentral. Lineage: Bacteria; Pseudomonadati; Pseudomonadota; Gammaproteobacteria; Moraxellales; Moraxellaceae.